AAGUCGAGCGGCAACCCGUAGCAAUACGGCCUAGAGCGGCGGACUGGUGAGUAACGCGUGGGUGACCUGCCCUUGGGAUGGGGAUAGCCAUUAGAAAUAGUGGGUAAUACCGAAUACGGUUGCAAGAUUGGGAUUUUGCAAAGAAAGGAGCUAAGGCUCCGCCCGGGGAUGGGCCCGCGUCCCAUUAGGUAGUUGGUAGGGUAAAGGCGUACCAAGCCAGAGAUGGGUAGCCGGCCUGAGAGGGUGAACGGCCACACUGGGACUGAGAUACGGCCCAGACUCCUACGGGAGGCAGCAGCUAAGAAUAUUCCGCAAUGGACGAAAGUCUGACGGAGCGACGCCGCGUGGAUGAGGAAGGCCGAAAGGUUGUAAAAUCCUUUUAUUGCGGAGGAAUAAGCGGGGGAGGGAAUGCCCCCGUGAUGACGACAAGCAAUGAAUAAGCCCCGGCUAAUUACGUGCCAGCAGCCGCGGUAACACGUAAGGGGCGAGCGUUGUUCGGAAUUAUUGGGCGUAAAGGGCGCGUAGGCGGUUAUGUAAGCCUGGCGUGAAAUACUCUGGCUUAACCAGAGAACGGCGCUGGGAACUGUAUGACUAGAGUCAUGGAGGGGGAGUUGGAAUUCCUGGUGUAGGGGUGAAAUCUGUAGAUAUCAGGAAGAACACCGGUGGCGAAGGCGAACUUCUAGCCAAUGACUGACGCUGAGGCGCGAAA
This 709-nucleotide ribosomal RNA is filed under the name uncultured spirochete. Its description in RNAcentral is "bacterial SSU rRNA". It matches the Rfam family "Bacterial small subunit ribosomal RNA", at positions 59 to 758 of the family's 1533-position model. The record is from RNAcentral. Lineage: Bacteria; Pseudomonadati; Spirochaetota; Spirochaetia; Spirochaetales.